This 73-nucleotide transfer RNA is filed under the name Trichobilharzia regenti. Its description in RNAcentral is "tRNA-Leu". Lineage: Eukaryota; Metazoa; Platyhelminthes; Trematoda; Strigeidida; Schistosomatidae. The record is from RNAcentral.
AACAAAAUGCCAGAAAGUUAAUAUGGGUAGUGUUUAGGUCUCUAUUAUAGGAAUUUGCUUUUCCUUUUUGUUA